CGAAUUCAGACAAACUCCGAAUGCCAAUUAAUUUAACUUGGGAGUCAGAACAUGGGUGAUAAGGUCCGUGUUCGAAAGGGAAACAGCCCAGACCACCAGCUAAGGUCCCAAAAUAUAUGUUAAGUGGAAAAGGAUGUGGCGUUGCCCAGACAACUAGGAUGUUGGCUUAGAAGCAGCCAUCAUUUAAAGAGUGCGUAAUAGCUCACUAGUCGAGUGACACUGCGCCGAAAAUGUACC
RNAcentral lists this ribosomal RNA (237 nucleotides) under Staphylococcus aureus. RNAcentral describes it as "partial 23S ribosomal RNA". It matches the Rfam family "Bacterial large subunit ribosomal RNA", at positions 940 to 1176 of the family's 2925-position model. The record is from RNAcentral. Lineage: Bacteria; Bacillati; Bacillota; Bacilli; Caryophanales; Staphylococcaceae.